GGGCCUAUAGCUUAGUGGUAAAGCGCGUGCAUGGCAUGCACGAAAUCGGGGUCCGAUUCCCCGUAGGUCCACCA
RNAcentral lists this transfer RNA (74 nucleotides) under Candidatus Jorgensenbacteria bacterium RIFCSPLOWO2_12_FULL_42_11. Its description in RNAcentral is "tRNA-Ala". It matches the Rfam family "tRNA". Rfam says of the family: Transfer RNA (tRNA) molecules are approximately 80 nucleotides in length. Their secondary structure includes four short double-helical elements and three loops (D, anti-codon, and T loops). Lineage: Bacteria; Candidatus Joergenseniibacteriota. The record is from RNAcentral.